RNAcentral lists this ribosomal RNA (497 nucleotides) under uncultured bacterium. RNAcentral describes it as "partial 16S ribosomal RNA". It matches the Rfam family "Bacterial small subunit ribosomal RNA", at positions 28 to 507 of the family's 1533-position model. The record is from RNAcentral.
GAUGAACGCUGGCGGCGUGCCUAAUACAUGCAAGUCGAGCGAACAGACGAGGAGCUUGCUCCUCUGACGUUAGCGGCGGACGGGUGAGUAACACGUGGAUAACCCACCUAUAAGACUGGGAUCACUUCGGGAAACCGGCGCUAAUACCGGAUAAUAUAUUGAACCGCAUGGUUCAAUAGUGAAAGACGGCUGUGCUGUCACUUAUAGCUGGAUCCGCGCCGCAUUAGCUAGUUGGUAAGGUAACGGCUUAUCAAGGCAACCAUGCGUAGGCGAACUGAGGGGGUGAUAGGCCACACUGGAGCGGGAACGCGGUCAAGACUCCUGCGGGAGGGAGCAGUAGGGAAUCUUCCGCAGUGGGCGAGAGCCUGACGGAGCAGCGCGAAGCGAGUGAUGAAGGCCCUGGGAGCGUGAAGCUCUGUUAUUAGGGAAGAACAGAUGUGUAAGGAGAUAUGCCGGUAUUGACGGUACCUGGUAAGAAAGCAACGGCUAACUACGUG